AUAGUGGUUCACGCAGCUGGUUCCCCCGGCCAUCCAGGUCGGUGGAGGUAACAGGGAAUCCGGUGUAGGCCCAACCCGUAUCAGGGUUGGGGCGAGUCCGGGACUGCCCCGCAGCGGUGAUCGAGAACGACCGUCGUCAUCAAGCACUGGGUGCCUGCAAGCACACCUGGGAAGCGACGACCAGUAGGUGAUCACCCCGAUCCCUGCACGUCCGGGAUCGGGUGGCCGAGCUCGUGAGUCCGAAGACCUGCCAGUGCGCUUCAGGUGAC
Molecule: non-coding RNA, 269 nt
Filed under: Microlunatus soli
Lineage: Bacteria; Bacillati; Actinomycetota; Actinomycetes; Propionibacteriales; Propionibacteriaceae
Source: RNAcentral